UCUUCUCCGGUGAGAGCCUAACGUCGGAAUCGAAACGGAGAAUGUCGCACAACGAUACGACGCCGCUUUACCAGUCAUCUCAGUCGGACAUCGAAGAGAUCAAGAACAUGAUCAACAACGACGGAAGCGUCCUCCCUGCUCGUCCCUCAAUCCCCGUUACGUCCUCACCGUUCGUUCAAUCCAACCUCCCACCGCCGUCUUCCUCUUCGACUCAGAAGGUGACACCUGUUCCAGUGCCUCCGUCGCUCAGGUGAUUUCAGCAGCUCGGAAGGUCCCAAGACCAUGGGAUUCGGAUCUCCGGCGAACACGUAUCUGGUUAUGAUCUUAUCAGGUACAUAGUAUCUGGAGACGUUGAGAGGGUUUCUCUAUAAUGGUGCUUCUUAGGCUAAGGCAUCACUAGACUAGACUCUAAUACUGCUGUCAGUUUUGAUGAGCAACAACUAACAGAUAUGGUGCUGUGUUACUUGUGAUUUUGAGUUUUACUACUCUCCCUUCCCUUGUCUUACUUUUAGCAGCAUCUUAUCUAAGGAUCCAGAUAUACGAUCGAUCAACCAUGCUGUAUAAUUUAACCUUGAACUUAUGUGACCAUACGGAUGGCUUUGUGUUCUCCGGUCUUUCAUAUUUUCCUGCUUAUAAAUGUUUUCUUUGCUGUGAUUUAUGAACACACCGAAUAAGAAAAUGUGAAAUCAAAAGGUUUAAACAAGGCUGUUUUGUUUUUUUUUUUUUGUUGUGUUUGAAUGUACUUGAUGUAUGCAUGAUUUAUCGGAAAAGACAUGACUGUGUUUUGUAUGCCGUUGUUUGCUUGUUUUUUAUUACCACUUAAGCAUAAGGGUAUAAGCCACGUCUGUGUUUUCAUCUGGUAGGAUAAAGAUUCUUUCUCUGUUUAUUGCAUUUUCUUCUGUUCUCAUUCUUUCUCUCUGUAGUUUCCAGUCCGAAGUGUUUGCCGUGGCAUUUGCACUACUUGCAGCCGGAGCAGUGAUCCUCUCACUAAAUGUCCUGCUCCUGGGAGGACAUAUAAUCUUCUUCCAAAGCCUAAGCCUUUUGGGCUACUGUCUAUUCCCACUGGACGUUGGAGCAGUGAUCUGCAUGUUGAAGGACAAUGUGAUACUCAAAAUGAUCGUUGUGUCUUCCACUCUUGCCCGCAGCUCUUCGGCUGCUUAUUCUUUCAUGAGCACUGC
Molecule: long non-coding RNA, 1178 nt
Organism: Brassica rapa (field mustard)
Lineage: Eukaryota; Viridiplantae; Streptophyta; Magnoliopsida; Brassicales; Brassicaceae
Source: RefSeq, a predicted model, not a curated record